Molecule: ribosomal RNA, 635 nt
Filed under: uncultured bacterium
Lineage: Bacteria
Description: bacterial SSU rRNA
Rfam family: Bacterial small subunit ribosomal RNA (bases 1-542)
Source: RNAcentral
CCUACGGGAGGCAGCAGUGGGGAAUUUUGGACAAUGGGCGAAAGCCUGAUCCAGCAAUGCCGCGUGCAGGAAGAAGGCCUUCGGGUUGUAAACUGCUUUUGUACGGAACGAAAAGACUCUCUCUAAUACAGGGGGCUUAUGACGGUACCGUAAGAAUAAGCACCGGCUAACUACGUGCCAGCAGCCGCGGUAAUACGUAGGGUGCGAGCGUUAAUCGGAAUUACUGGGCGUAAAGCGUGCGCAGGCGGUUAUAUAAGACAGUUGUGAAAUCCCCGGGCUCAACCUGGGAACUGCAUCUGUGACUGUAUAGCUAGAGUACGGUAGAGGGGGAUGGAAUUCCGCGUGUAGCAGUGAAAUGCGUAGAUAUGCGGAGGAACACCGAUGGCGAAGGCAAUCCCCUGGACCUGUACUGACGCUCAUGCACGAAAGCGUGGGGAGCAAACAGGAUUAGAUACCCUGGUAGUCCACGCCCUAAACGAUGUCAACUGGUUGUUGGGUCUUCACUGACUCAGUAACGAAGACUACGACGUGAGUAGACCGCCGUCGGGAGGUACGGCCGGCCGAGGUAGUAAACGUUAAAGGUAAAGUUAGUACGGCGUGAGACGUGACCGACGGACGACGACGAGGGAGGAGGG